GGAAGUAAAAGUCGUAACAAGGUCUCCGUUGGUGAACCAGCGGAGGGAUCAUUACCGAGUUAUACAACUCCCAAACCCACUGUGAACCUUACCUCAGUUGCCUCGGCGGGAACGCCCCGGCCGCCUGCCCCCGCGCCGGCGCCGGACCCAGGCGCCCGCCGCAGGGACCCCAAACUCUCUUGCAUUACGCCCAGCGGGCGGAAUUUCUUCUCUGAGUUGCACAAGCAAAAACAAAUGAAUCAAAACUUUCAACAACGGAUCUCUUGGUUCUGGCAUCGAUGAAGAACGCAGCGAAAUGCGAUAAGUAAUGUGAAUUGCAGAAUUCAGUGAAUCAUCGAAUCUUUGAACGCACAUUGCGCCCGCCAGCAUUCUGGCGGGCAUGCCUGUUCGAGCGUCAUUUCAACCCUCGAGCCCCCCCCGGGGCCUCGGUGUUGGGGGACGGCACACCAGCCGCCCCCGAAAUGCAGUGGCGACCCCGCCGCAGCCUCCCCUGCGUAGUAGCACACACCUCGCACCGGAGCGCGGAGGCGGUCACGCCGUAAAACGCCCAACUUUCUUAGAGUUGACCUCGGAUCAGGUAGGAAUACCCGCUGAACUUAAGCAUAUCAAUAAGCGGAGGA
RNAcentral lists this ribosomal RNA (620 nucleotides) under Purpureocillium sp. A65. RNAcentral describes it as "eukaryotic LSU rRNA". The stretch from base 244 to 397 matches the Rfam family "5.8S ribosomal RNA". The record is from RNAcentral. Lineage: Eukaryota; Fungi; Ascomycota; Sordariomycetes; Hypocreales; Ophiocordycipitaceae.